This is a non-coding RNA of Mus caroli (Ryukyu mouse), 928 nucleotides long. The record is from RefSeq and is a predicted model, not a curated record. Lineage: Eukaryota; Metazoa; Chordata; Mammalia; Rodentia; Muridae.
UGGGUGCCUUCAGAACAAGAUGUAGAACUUUCAGCUCCUCCUGCGCCAUGCCUGCCUGGGUGCUGCAGUGCUUUCCACCUUGAUGACAAUGGACUGACCCUCUGAACCUAAAGCUCCUCCAAUAAUGGCUGAGCCACGCACUGAUCUAUGAGCAUAGCAGAAUGUCCUCGGGAGUCAUUUCAUUGAUAUUCCUCUGGUCAGUAACUUAAGAAUGAGGCUCCUUGCUCUUCACAUCCUUGAAACUGUGCCACCAGCUUGUGAAUCUGGUGGAGAAGAUGACCAAAUGGCCCAGCUUUGUAGAGAGAAGCACAUGGAAGAGCUUGUGACACUCCCUCAGCUUCUUCCUGCUCUUCUGGACUCAGACCCAUUGGAAGUUCUAGAUCAAAACUGCCAUUGCUGACUGGCAAACGGUGUUUUCCAUGGAUCUACCACUGCUGAUUCAAGUAAAACCGAAAUGCUGAUAUCCUGACAACAAAGACUGAAAUCACACCGAAGAACUACUUCUGAACAGGGCCACAUCCCCCAUGCCCUAUUAACCUUUCCUUUCCACUAACUCUGGUGGGUGGUGGGCUAGAAGGGAGGUUAAAGCAUUUAAGAACUCUCAUUAAAGUAGGUUUUGAAAAAUAUAAGACCUCUCACUGUGUGCCAGGAAUAAGGCAAAGUGUUGUAGAAUCAAACUCAGCAAGCAAUGCCUGAACCUGAAAGCUGAAUGAGCGUGGUAAUUCUAAAGCAAGAGGAGGUCACCAGCAGCGGUGAGUCAGCACCUGAACAGUGGAGGGAGAAUGUUAGCCCCCAGUACUUCCCCAUCCUUUCCAAAUAAAGGGUAGAGAAGAGAGUAGUUUGAAAAUGUUGCGGCUUUCCAGGAGUAACUUUCUGAACACACCCACUCAGCAUCAUAAUUAGAUUGUAGGCUAAUUGUUUACUUUAA